GGGGAAUAUUGGACAAUGGACGGAAGCCUGAUCCAGCAACGCCGCGUGAGGGAUGACGGCCUUCGGGUUGUAAACCUCUUUCAGCACAGGCGAAGCUGCUACCACGUGUGGUGGUGGUGACGGUAUGUGCAGAAGAAGCACCGGCCAACUACGUGCCAGCAGCCGCGGUAAUACGUAGGGUGCAAGCGUUGCCCGGAUUUAUUGGGCGUAAAGGGCGCGUAGGCGGCUCUGCACGUUCGUUGUGAAAUCGCCCGGCUCAACUGGGCGGGGUCAGCGGAUACGGCGGAGCUUGAGCAAGCUAGGGGGCAAUGGAAUUCCCGGUGUAGUGGUGGAAUGCGUAGAUAUCGGGAGGAACACCAGUGGCGAAGGCGGUUGCCUGGGGCUUUGCUGACGCUGAGGCGCGAAAGCGUGGGGAGCGAUC
RNAcentral lists this ribosomal RNA (421 nucleotides) under uncultured bacterium. RNAcentral describes it as "bacterial SSU rRNA". It matches the Rfam family "Bacterial small subunit ribosomal RNA", at positions 356 to 773 of the family's 1533-position model. The record is from RNAcentral.